AUUCCAGUUGAUCCUGCUGGCGGCUGCGGCUCUCUGAUUUGCGCUUAGACAUGCAAGUUUUUUUGGCUUUGCAAAAAGUUGAAAAGCAAACUGCUCAGUAACACGUAGCUAACCUACCCUCAGGUUAAGGAUACCCUCGGGAAACUGAGGUUAAUACUUAAUAAGAGAUAUACCCUGGAAAGAUUUAUCUCUGAACUAAGGAUGGGGCUGCGGCGGAUUAGGUUGUUGGCGGGGUAAUAGCCC
RNAcentral lists this ribosomal RNA (243 nucleotides) under Nanobdellota archaeon. RNAcentral describes it as "partial 16S ribosomal RNA". It matches the Rfam family "Archaeal small subunit ribosomal RNA", at positions 1 to 250 of the family's 1478-position model. The record is from RNAcentral. Lineage: Archaea; Nanobdellati; Nanobdellota.